Molecule: transfer RNA, 72 nt
Filed under: Pangasius djambal
Lineage: Eukaryota; Metazoa; Chordata; Actinopteri; Siluriformes; Pangasiidae
Description: tRNA-Glu
Source: RNAcentral
UCCCUGGAAGGCUAGUGGUUAGGCCUCGGCGCUCUCACCGCCGCAGCCCGGGUUCGGCUCCCGGCCAGGGAA